CUCCCUGGACACUGUUCUUUGUUGGAUAUUGUUGGGAGUGUGCUGAAAAACUUCAAGUUUCACAAAAGUUGAGAACUGGCUCUUCUGGAAACUGGAUUUUGGAAAACUAGACUGAUGCUCCCAAAAGUUCCUAAUGUAAUAAUACAGGCUUGACCUACUUUGUGAUCCCAAACCCUGGAAUUU
Molecule: long non-coding RNA, 183 nt
Filed under: Sus scrofa (pig)
Lineage: Eukaryota; Metazoa; Chordata; Mammalia; Artiodactyla; Suidae
Description: lncRNA (ENSSSCG00070008722.1)
Source: RNAcentral